Long non-coding RNA from Zophobas morio, 286 nucleotides. RefSeq lists it as uncharacterized. NCBI's taxonomy places the organism in Eukaryota, Metazoa, Arthropoda, Insecta, Coleoptera, Tenebrionidae. The record is from RefSeq and is a predicted model, not a curated record. The transcript is spliced from 3 exons.
UAAGUCUUUCCAUUUCAUUUUACUUUUAAUUAACUUUUGCAUCACAAUUCUAAGCCCUUCAGCCGUUGACUUUGCGGAGUUUCAUCGUAAAGCUUUGCAUUUCGAAAAGAUUUUAGAAACUAAUAAAGCUAAGGAUCUUCUAUCGAAAGAUCUUUUGUAUAAUAAAAAAAAUGCUUUUGAUCUUUUAAUUGUUCGCACUGCUAAUCCUUCUGAAACGCCGGAGGAAGUGCAAGUACGUCAGCGUAGUAAAAAUGAUCUUUUUAUAGAAUCAAAGAAACUUCUUCUC